RNAcentral lists this long non-coding RNA (207 nucleotides) under Elaeis guineensis (African oil palm). RNAcentral's name for it is "long non-coding RNA (EGUI_LNC056322)". The record is from RNAcentral. Lineage: Eukaryota; Viridiplantae; Streptophyta; Magnoliopsida; Arecales; Arecaceae.
GGCUACAACCCUUUAAAGAAAUAAAAAUUUUUGAAAAAUAUCUAUGUGAACUCAUCAAGCAACAAGCUUUUAAAUAUUACUUACUUUAAAUGUGGUAAAAAAGGACACAAAUCUUAUACAUGUUUCUCUAGCAAAUCUGAAAAUUUUAAUGUGAAGAAAAUAUGGGUUCCAAAAGAAAUCAUUGUGACUAACCAAAAAGGACCCAAG